CAGCAUGUAGUUUAGUAAAAAUAAAAACUUUGGGUGUUUUAGAAGUAUAAUUAUAUACUUUGCUGA
This 66-nucleotide transfer RNA is filed under the name Mitjaevia shibingensis. RNAcentral's name for it is "tRNA-Pro". Lineage: Eukaryota; Metazoa; Arthropoda; Insecta; Hemiptera; Cicadellidae. The record is from RNAcentral.